CAGCGUGAGCCUCUGUCUCAAAAAAAGAAAAAAAAGAAAAAAGAAAAAAAAGAAAUGAUUAGUUCAGUAUUUUGUGGUCAAAAUAAUCAGGUUGGACUGACAUUUAUUUUUCAGUCCAUAGAAGUUUUAGGAAGUCCCAGUUGGGCUCUGUAUAUGUCUAAUCUAAUUUUGUCCCUUGAUAUGUGUUUUUUGGUAUUGCUGAUAACUCCAGAUAAGAAGCACUUUGGAGACUCCUCCCACUCACCCAAAGAUCUGAGACCCCAGGUGUACAGAAGAGCAGUUACCCCUUCACAUGUGGCUGUAGGAAAACCAGAAUCACCCCGUUGUGGAUACAAGCAUGGCUUGCAGCAGGGGAGAUGGAACCCCCUACCCUUCUCUUGCUGGCCGGAGCCCCGGCGGACACUGGCAUCCUCUGCCUACGUCCCUUAGUUCCUAGAGCGGAGAGCGUCCAUCCCUGGCCCGCCGUGGGCCCCGAGUGUCAGUCAGAAAAGCUAGACAGCCCGAGUGAUUCCCUUCUUCUGAGAUAGCUCUUGGGUUCACAGUUGCAGGCGGGAAACCUAUUCAGUCGGAUGUACACAAAUCUCUCUAGAGGGCUGCGGCGAAGGGACCUUGGAGCUGGCAGAGGCAUUUCCUGUCUGCGGAGGAUCUUGACUUUGGAGCAUCCGGCCGUCGCCGCGAGCAGCCGAACACUUUCCUGCGUCGCUACUUAAAAAAAAAAAAAAAAAGUCACUGCCAAUAUCAGGCGACUUUCCACAUGAAAGCCAAUGAGGCCGCUUCCCACUUUAAAAACAUUUGUUUAAAACAUAUUUUCUAAGCAUUCCUUAGACUCCGUUUUAUUUUGGAAGGUGACUUUGGUGUCCUUGAAAAACCUUAAGUAUUCAAAAAUCUCAUUCUCUCUGAAGACAACUUCAUAGAUGAACAAGUAUGGGAAACAGUUAACAGAAGAGGAUCCCUCCCCUGAUGCUCGCAGAUGCUUGCAGGCGGAGGACAAUACCAGCCUCUGGCACACAGACGAUGGUUGAGAAAUGCUUGUUGGCUGGGUGUGGUGGUGCAAGCCUGUAAUCACAGCACUUUGGGAGAUCAAGAAUUGCAGUCAUUUGCCUGGUUAUGUGCGAGGAAGGAAAACCCAAAAUAUUACCUAUGAGGGAGGAGGCUGUACAGGAAGCAUGACAGCAUGGCGGGACAUCUGCUCAGCUUGUUGGGAGGCCUCAGGACGCUUGCAAUCAGAAGGUGACGGGGAAGAAGGCAUCACACAGGGUGGGAGCAGGAGCAAGUCCAGGAGGUGCCACACACUUUUACAAAACCAGAUCUCAUCAGAACUUACUCACUAUGGUGAGAACAGCACCAGGCCAUGAGAGAUCUGUCCCCAUGACCCAAACACCUCCCACCAGGCCCCACCUUGAACACUGGGGAUUACAUUUCCACCUGAGAUUUGGGUGGGGACAAACAUCCAAACUGUAUCAGCCUGUAUUUGCAAUCCCUCCAAAACCUGUUAUUGCACAUAUAUUUAAAAAUAAAGUUCAGAACAAAAUAUUUCCUGAGGUUAUACUCAGUUAAUGAAGACAAUUAGAUUUGCAAUUAGCUAACUCCUACUUAAAUAUAUUUAACAUCGCUUACAGAAGAAAAGAACCCCAAACACAUACAAAUAAAUCAGAUUAGGCUUUGUCUUUUGAUUAAUGUUUUUUUCACUGAACAGGAAAAUACUCAUUAACAAAAGUUUCGAGAACAAUAAAGCAACUGGAGGUUAUUAAUAUGAAAAUAUUGUCGAUUGUUCCUCCCAUAGAAAUUUCCCUGGACAGCCCACUUCCUGAAAAAUGACUCAGCAAAAGCUCCCAGAGAAGAGUGUUCAUACUUCAGACAAUUGUUCAGGCCGGAGCUUAUUUCUUAUCUAUAAAGUCCCCUUGUGAUGGAUGAAUCAUGUUUCUUUUCAUUUAUGGGCUUUGAAUGCAAACUAUUUCUUAAUGUCAACAAAUGGCUUCAGUAUUUAAAGCAAAAUAUUUCCGUUUGUUUAGUACUAUUUCCUAUUUUAUGCCUGAAACUGUGUUUUUGAAGGAAUUGUUUGGUUUCAAAAGAGGGAAAAGGGAAUGAUUGUUUAGAAGAAUGUGUGCAAAGGGGCGUGCCUUUGUCAUGGGCAGCCUUUGAGACCUGCCUGGAGUCAGAGGGGGCGUGUGGUAGGUAGCAUGGCCCGAAGAAGCUGGUGUCAUGAAUUCUGCCUAUAAAAGUUCCUGUUUCCUGUGGGAGAAAAGGGUAUCUGGCAGCUUGAUAACAGGUCUUCAAGUAUGUCUUUAAAUUCUCUAUUCGCUGAAGAGAUGCAAACUAGGUGAAUGGAAGAGAAAUGACUCAUAGAACAGUUGCUAAAGAUACUAGAGAGAAGAGCGCAAGAUCUUCACUGAUUUCUUUUCUGUUUUUUUUUUGUUUGUUUGUUUUUUGUUUGUUUUUUUUUGAG
Chlorocebus sabaeus (green monkey) is the source of this 2446-nucleotide non-coding RNA. Lineage: Eukaryota; Metazoa; Chordata; Mammalia; Primates; Cercopithecidae. The record is from RefSeq and is a predicted model, not a curated record.